Long non-coding RNA from Oncorhynchus tshawytscha (Chinook salmon), 2028 nucleotides. The record is from Ensembl. NCBI's taxonomy places the organism in Eukaryota, Metazoa, Chordata, Actinopteri, Salmoniformes, Salmonidae.
CUAGCGAGGUGCUACUGAGGAACACACUGUUACUAAAGGACCUAGCGAGGUGUUGCUAAGGAACACACUGUUACUAAAGGACCUAGCGAGGUGUUGCUGAGGAACACACUGUUACUAAAGGACCUAGCGAGGUGUUGCUGAGGAACACACUGUUACUGAAGGACCUAGCGAGGUGCUGCUGAGGAACACACUGUUACUAAAGGACCUAGCGAGGUGUUGCUGAGGAACACACUGUUACUAAAGGACCUAGCGAGGUGUUGCUGAGGAACACACUGUUACUAAAUCCUUUGAGAACUGUGCCUUAUGAAGGACAUGCUUGGUUUUAAAGGUUUUUAUUUAGAAUUAAGAAUGAAUUAUGUUUUGUAUUGUUUACAGAGGAGAAUGUUUUUGCAGUAGAGUUGAACAUCAGAACACUGAGCUGUUGCAAAAGCAGGAUCAGUAAGUUAAGCCAGAUAACUCUUAUUAGGGGUAAAAUAUAGUUCUUGAUUUACUGAUAUAUUUAUAAAGCUGAACUUGAAUAUGGUUGUCAAGUCAGUUACAAUACAAUGAUGCCAGGUGUACCUUGACGUUAUUGCCAUGAUGCCAGUUAUACCUUGACGUUAUUGCCAUGAUGCCAGUUAUACCUUGAUGUUAUUGCCAUGAUGCCAGUUAUACCUUGACGUUAUUGCCAUGAUGCUAGGUUAUCCUUGACGUUAUUGCCAUGGUGCUAGGUUAUCCUUGGCGUUAUUGCCAUGGUGCUAGGUUAUCCUUGGCGUUAUUGCCAUGAUGCUAGGUUAUCCUUGACGUUAUUGCCAUGAUGGUAGGUUAACCUUGACGUUAUUGCCAUGAUGCCAGGAAUACCUUGACGUUAUUGCCAUGAUGCCAGUUAUACCUUGACGUUAUUGCCAUGAUGCCAGUUAUACCUUGACGUUAUUGCCAUGAUGCUAGGUUAUCCUUGACGUUAUUGCCAUGAUGCCAGGUAUACCUUGACGUUAUUGCCAUGAUGCUAGGUUAUCCUUGACGUUAUUGCCAUGAUGCUAGGUUAUCCUUGACGUUAUUGCCAUGAUGCUAGGUUAUCCUUGACGUUAUUGCCCCAAUGCCAGGUAUACCUUAACGUUAUUGCCAUGAUGCCAGUUAUACCUUGACAUUUUUGCCAUGAUUCCAGUUAUACCUUGACGUUAUUGCCAUGAUGCCAGGUAUACCUUGACGUUAUUGCCAUGAUGCCAGUGUCAAGUCUCUGACAUUAUUUAGAGCGUUUGUUAGUCGGCUAACUGGUUGAUCCUGCGGUCUGGAACAGCCCCACGUCUCUGUUCAACCACCAGACCUCCAUGUUUUAAUAAACACUCUGAACCACCAGACAGACAUGUUUUAAUAAACACUCCGAACCACCAGACCUCCAUGUUUUAAAUCAAAUCAAAUCAAAUUGUAUUUGUCACAUACACAUGGUUAGCAGAUGUUAAUGCGAGUGUAGCGAAAUGCUUGUGCUUCUAGUUCCGACAAUGCAGUAAUAACCAACAAGUAAUCUAACUAACAAUUCCAAAACGACUGUCUUAUACACAGUGUAAGGGGAUAAAGAAUAUGUACAUAAAGAUAUAUGAAUGAGUGAUGGUACAGAGCAGCAUAGGCAAGAUACAGUAGAUGGUAUCGAGAACAGUAUAUACAUAUGAGAUGAGUAUGUAAACAAAGUGGCAUAGUUAAAGUGGCUAGUGAUACAUGUAUUACAUAAGGAUGCAGUAGAUGAUAUAGAGUACAGUAUAUACGUAUGCAUAUGAGAUGAAUAAUGUAGGGUAUGAGCUGUGAACCCACACUUUCAAUUGAUUCAUUUUAGGUAAUAAGCUUCUAGUGUUAACAUGCAGAAAACCCAGGCUUUUACGAGAGCAGAAAUCAGUGAAGCAGAUAUCAGAGCACAAGUCAGAGUUGGGGCUAGCAACAGUAGAUGGGCCAGGGUGUACAUGCACAUUUCCAGAUAUCAUCAACACUAAUACAAUCAAGGCACGGCAGAGGACAGGGAGAACUCCGCAGUGCUGAUUUAUGACAUCUGAAUGUGCA